RNAcentral lists this unclassified non-coding RNA (363 nucleotides) under Hevea brasiliensis (rubber tree). The record is from RNAcentral. Lineage: Eukaryota; Viridiplantae; Streptophyta; Magnoliopsida; Malpighiales; Euphorbiaceae.
AGCAAAAGGUCCUCUUUAUUUGGACGAGUUUGAAAAGUUCCCAAUUGAAGGUAAUGAAGAACCUGAAGAUUUUGAAGAGCACUUACGCCAACUCUCUCUGGAAUCGAAAAAGGCAGACUCGUUGGAGAAAGAUUUGGACUCACCGUCUCUAGACGAGAUUGACAGGAUGUUUCUUCGUGCUGCUUCUCUUUUAAAGCAAAAGAAGAGAUAGGAGAUGUGCGAAAUUGCGAUACCCAUCAUUUUGGUUGAAAUAUUAAACUGCCCAAUUUCAUCGUUAUUUCAAAUUUGGACUGUUGUCAUAUGGGAUUUCAAAUACAACUUGGCACAUUUCAGAAGCCUCCCAUUUAGGAAACCAAAUACGCG